GCGUAUGACCGUCGGUUUCCAACAUGCAAGAUGAUACCAAUCUUUGUCGGGAGUGAGAUCUUGUCAGAAUUCAAGAGUAACGAUGGCGCUGUCCAUAUAGUGGAGAGACGCUGCAAACUCAACCCUGAUGCUCCAUAUCUACUUAAAAAGAUUGCUGGUGUAGAGUUUGUCUAUUUUAUCCAGAAGAAUAAUCUUGACAUGAAAGGAAGAACGCUGAAGAUUGAAGCCAGGAAUGAAACAUUCGCUUCACGUAUUGGGAUCUUAGAAGGAUGCACAUACUCGGUACAUCCUGAUAACCCAGGCUGGACAAUCUUUGAGCAGACUGCUAGCUUGGAGGUCAAAUCAUUCUUUGGGUUUGAGAAUACAGUGGAGAAAAUUGCUGCCAAACAAUAUGCUGCCAAUAUCAAGAAGGUAACAUUAGAGACAACAACUCAAGCCUUUAUUCCUCUUUCUUUCUUUUUUUUUCUUUCUUUCUUUCUUUCUCAUUUUCCAAGGCUUUCUAUCAAAUGGUUAUUCUUAUUGCUUUAUUCUUUUUUUGUUGUUGGCAGUAUUGGUAUUCUUUUUCUUAUUCAUCACUGCUUUCUUUCCAUGCUCUGAUGGUAUUGGAAGGAAGUCUACGUGUAAAAUCUACUUUGCAUGAUAUUUCACCCUCAAAUUGAGCAAACAUCCCCCCCCCCAAAAAAAAAAAUAAUGAAUGAAUAAAAAAUAGUAAUAGUAACAGCAACAAUUAGACAAAGAUAUCCUUGGAAUACCAUUUUAGAUUUCGCAUUCUAGUCAGUCAUGUUUAGCACAUGCGAUACAAAUAGAUAUUAAAUUCAAUUUCAAAAUAUAGAUGUCUGUGGAAACACCUUUCUUUUAAUAUAGACUGUUCAGCUGACUAUUCGAUUACCAGCCAGCCAUCUUCAUCAAAGGGUUUAUGAGUUACAUGUAUAAAUAACUUUAAUCAAACAAGCUACCACAGUAGUAAAAGUGGUUGGGCACAUGGCAAAGCUUUUAGCCUAACCAGAUCAAUUGAGUUAAUUGGAUUAGGUUGAGCUCAAGUGUUAUUAAUAGAUAGAUGGUUCCAAUUAGACGAGCUAUCCUGGAUUAUGACGAACGCCGGGUAUCCAAUGAAGUGAAUAAUUAGAAAAGGGGAAGCUCAGCCUCUGCUAAAACAAUGAUAACGGUUUAAAUAAUUUUGUUAAAAGUGGGUUACAUCAUUGUACUAAUGAUCUCCAUGGUACACU
Molecule: long non-coding RNA, 1226 nt
Organism: Lytechinus pictus (painted urchin)
Lineage: Eukaryota; Metazoa; Echinodermata; Echinoidea; Temnopleuroida; Toxopneustidae
Exons: 3
Source: RefSeq, a predicted model, not a curated record